GAUGAACGCUGGCGGCGUGCCUAAUACAUGCAAGUCGAGCGAACGGACGAGAAGCUUGCUUCUCUGAUGUUAGCGGCGGACGGGUGAGUAACACGUGGAUAACCUACCUAUAAGACUGGGAUAACUUCGGGAAACCGGAGCUACUACCGGAUAAUAUUUUGAACCGCAUGGUUCAAAAGUGAAAGACGGUCUUGCUGUCACUUAUAGAUGGAUCCGCGCUGCAUUAGCUAGUUGGUAAGGUAACGGCUUACCAAGGCAACGAUGCAUAGCCGACCUGAGAGGGUGAUCGGCCACACUGGAACUGAGACACGGUCCAGACUCCUACGGGAGGCAGCAGUAGGGAAUAUUCCGCAAUGGGCGAAAGCCUGACGGAGCAACGCCGCGUGAGUGAUGAAGGUCUUCGGAUCGUAAAACUCUGUUAUUAGGGAAGAACAUAUGUGUAAGUAACUGUGCACAUCUUGACGGUACCUAAUCAGAAAGCCACGGCUAACUACGUG
This 497-nucleotide ribosomal RNA is filed under the name uncultured bacterium. RNAcentral describes it as "partial 16S ribosomal RNA". It matches the Rfam family "Bacterial small subunit ribosomal RNA", at positions 28 to 507 of the family's 1533-position model. The record is from RNAcentral.